CCGCCCUUUAGUGCUGAAGUUAACGCAUUAAGCACUCCGCCUGGGGAGUACGGCCGCAAGGCUGAAACUCAAAGGAAUUGACGGGGGCCCGCACAAGCGGUGGAGCAUGUGGUUUAAUUCGAAGCAACGCGAAGAACCUUACCAGGUCUUGACAUCCUCUGAAAACCCUAGAGAUAGGGCUUCUCCUUCGGGAGCAGAGUGACAGGUGGUGCAUGGUUGUCGUCAGCUCGUGUCGUGAGAUGUUGGGUUAAGUCCCGCAACGAGCGCAACCCUUGAUCUUAGUUGCCAUCAUUAAGUUGGGCACUCUAAGGUGACUGCCGGUGACAAACCGGAGGAAGGUGGGGAUGACGUCAAAUCAUCAUGCCCCUUAUGACCUGGGCUACACACGUGCUACAAUGGACGGUACAAAGAGCUGCAAGACCGCGAGGUGGAGCUAAUCUCAUAAAACCGUUCUCAGUUCGGAUUGUAGGCUGCAACUCGCCUACAUGAAGCUGGAAUCGYUAGUAAUCGCGGAUCASCAUGCCGCGGUGAAUACGUUCCCGGGCCUUGUACACACCGCCCGUCACACCACGAGAGUUUGUAACACCCGAAGUCGGUGGGGUAACCUUUUUGGAGCCAGCCGCCUAAGGUGGGACAGAUGAUUGGGGUGAAGUCGUAA
Molecule: ribosomal RNA, 658 nt
Filed under: Bacillus sp. BAB-5623
Lineage: Bacteria; Bacillati; Bacillota; Bacilli; Caryophanales; Bacillaceae
Description: bacterial SSU rRNA
Rfam family: Bacterial small subunit ribosomal RNA
Source: RNAcentral